Molecule: ribosomal RNA, 254 nt
Filed under: uncultured bacterium
Lineage: Bacteria
Description: partial 16S ribosomal RNA
Rfam family: Bacterial small subunit ribosomal RNA
Source: RNAcentral
UACAGAGGUCCCAAGCGUUUGUUCGGAUUCACUGGGCGUAAAGGGUGCGUAGGUGGCCAGGUAAGUUUGGUGUGAAAGCUCGGAGCUUAACUCCGAAAAGUCAUUGAAUACUAUCUGGCUGGAGGGUCGGAGGGGAGACUGGAAUUCUCGGUGUAGCAGUGAAAUGCGUAGAUAUCGAGAGGAACACCAGUGGCGAAGGCGAGUCUCUGGACGACUCCUGACACUGAGGCACGAAAGCUAGGGGAGCAAACAGG